RNAcentral lists this long non-coding RNA (1558 nucleotides) under Homo sapiens (human). RNAcentral's name for it is "HSALNT0023998". Lineage: Eukaryota; Metazoa; Chordata; Mammalia; Primates; Hominidae. The record is from RNAcentral.
UGAAAGAGUUUAGUAAUGGGUAAAUCUCAGAAGGAGAAGAGGAAAGAAGACAGCAGAGGAUACAAGAACCAUGGCAUCUGCUCUCUCCCUUUGGACUGAAUUUCAGCAACUGUAAUUAAGAAGAUGAGCCACAGAGAGAUGGAAUCUGACGCAAUCACCCUGGCUGGAGUGCAGUGGCAUAAUCAUAGCUCCAUGCAACCCAGAGCUUCUGGGCUCAAGAUGUUUCCGGAAUUGACCUAGAGAUGAAGAAGCCAGCAACCUGGAAUUGCCAUCAAAUGCUGACACAAAAGUUCCUACAAAAGCCAAGGAAAAGGGGAAUCUAGCAAACCAGAAAACUUUUACACAACUACCACUCUACUUCAACAAGUAUCACAGCAGCCUGACACCCUCACCAGAGGACAAGCAGCCUGCAGAACGGCCAUCCAGGCUGGGUGCAUUCCUAGGAUGUGAUUUCCUUCAGUGUGGAGUAAACCCUGCCUUUUACCCACCAACACCAGCAAGGAAGUAUAGAAGACCAGUACCAUUUACUCAAGGAAUGUCCAUCUUUCAUUUGGAAUGCCUUAAGACUUCCAGGAAGAGCAUGCUAUCACUACAUCAAUUGGAGGUGAGAGAGGACAUCAGUUGGAGGGGACUGUUAGCUUAUGGACAAUGAUGUUGAAAGCCUUGAGAAGGUGCAGAAAAGAUAGGUAAGGCCAUCCCCAGAAAACUGCCUGAUAUGGUAUGGAGUCUGCAGAGGGCAGAAGGUGACCGCCCUAGGUCCCUGCCAUGGGGGAGUAGGGGCAUAGGGUAAAGGAUACCUACCGACACCCCCCCCCCAGUGCCUUGGAGCUAUAGAUGAGAAGGGCCUGUGGUCAGUUGAGAGUCAACAGAUGGGCCCAAACUUGGCUCAGAAUGCAAAAGUAGGCAGUGGACUGUUGGAAUCCAAAUCCCUGCACUCCUCACUUCCAAUGUGACUCACCCCAAACUAACUACUGUUCCUUACAGCUCAAUCUUACCCAAUACCGCAAAAGAAAUACCAUACUGGCCAACAGGAACUAUCUGUUUGGGGCAGGAGGGAAAGGUGUACAGAGCAGGCACUGAAUGCAGCCUUAGGAAAUUUCUAGGAAGACACUUUCAGCAACCGGGACCCACACGUGACCAAGCGCCUUGCUUGGAUGCCCUGGCCAGUCCCAGUCACUGGAGAGGGUAUUUCUUCAAGGAAGAUACUGCAAUGCACUGGGGAUGGGUGGUCCUCAGACACAAGACCUGGACAGGAGGGAAGCUUUCCUGGGUCCAAGAGUGGUACUAAAAUUUGUGGUCAAAUGCAGGGUUUGGAAGAAGCUGGAAGGAAACCUGGAGCCCUGAUUUUCUAGCCAUCUUAUACUCACCAAUAAAGAAUGUUAAUUCUAUAUUAAUAUUAAAAAUUGUGCAUAUGUGUGUGUGUGCAUGUGCAUAUAUGCUGGGGUGAGUGGGGAGAGGAGAGCAAAAGAAAAUACAAACAUAUUGAUUUGAGUGCAUAAGAGUAUAUCAAAUAUUACCAUCAUUCAAAAAAACUUCUAUAAAACUAAAGACAUCGAAA